AUUCAGUAGCUAAGUGAAUAACGUGAUGGCGUUUGAAGCAAAAGGUACUGGGUUCGAGUCCCAGAGUGAAU
This 71-nucleotide transfer RNA is filed under the name Schistosoma mansoni. The record is from RNAcentral. Lineage: Eukaryota; Metazoa; Platyhelminthes; Trematoda; Strigeidida; Schistosomatidae.